Molecule: ribosomal RNA, 492 nt
Filed under: uncultured bacterium
Lineage: Bacteria
Description: partial 16S ribosomal RNA
Rfam family: Bacterial small subunit ribosomal RNA
Source: RNAcentral
AUUGAACGCUGGCGGCAUGCUUUACACAUGCAAGUCGAACGGUAACAGGCCUUCGGGUGCUGACGAGUGGCGAACGGGUGAGUAAUGCAUCGGAACGUACCCAGAGGUGGGGGAUAACGCAGCGAAAGCUGUGCUAAUACCGCAUGUGAUCUGAGGAUGAAAGCGGGGGACCGAGCAGCAAUGUUUGGCCUCGCGCCUUUGGAGCGGCCGAUGUCGGAUUAGCUAGUUGGUGGGGUAAAGGCCUACCAAGGCGACGAUCCGUAGCUGGUCUGAGAGGACGACCAGCCACACUGGGACUGAGACACGGCCCACACUCCUACGGGAGGCAGCAGUGGGGAAUUUUGGACAAUGGGCGCAAGCCUGAUCCAGCGAUGCCGCGUGCGGGAAGAAGGCCUUCGGGUUGUAAACCGCUUUUGGCAGGAACGAAACGGUGUCCGCUAAUACCGGGCGCUAAUGACGGUACCUGCAGAAUAAGCACCGGCUAACUACGUG